AUUGAACGCUGGCGGCAGGCCUAACACAUGCAAGUCGAGCGGAUGAAGGGAGCUUGCUCCUGGAUUCAGCGGCGGACGGGUGAGUAAUGCCUAGGAAUCUGCCUGGUAGUGGGGGAUAACGUCCGGAAACGGGCGCUAAUACCGCAUACGUCCUGAGGGAGAAAGUGGGGGACCUUCGGACCUCACGCUAUCAGAUGAGCCUAGGUCGGAUUAGCUAGUUGGUGGGGUAAAGGCCUACCAAGGCGACGAUCCGUAACUGGUCUGAGAGGAUGAUCAGUCACACUGGAACUGAGACACGGUCCAGACUCCUACGGGAGGCAGCAGUGGGGAAUAUUGGACAAUGGGCGAAGGCCUGAUCCAGCCAUGCCGCGUGUGUGAAGAAGGUCUUCGGAUUGUAAAGCACUUUAAGUUGGGAGGAAGGGCAGUAAGUUAAUACCUUCCUGUUUUGACGUUACCAACAGAAUAAGCACCGGCUAACUUCGUG
Molecule: ribosomal RNA, 484 nt
Filed under: uncultured bacterium
Lineage: Bacteria
Description: partial 16S ribosomal RNA
Rfam family: Bacterial small subunit ribosomal RNA
Source: RNAcentral